GACGAACGCUGGCGGCGUGCCUAACACAUGCAAGUCGAACGGGGAGUUAGCAAUAACUCCUAGUGGCGAACGGGUGAGUAAUGCGUAGACAACCUGCCUCUAAACUGGGGACAACACCGCGAAAGUGGUGCUAAUACCGUAUGUGGUAACUUGCUCGCAUGAUCGAGUUAAGAAAGAUGGCCUCUAUGUAUAAGCUACCGAUUAGAGAUAGGUCUUGGUCUGAUUAGCUAGUUGGUGCGGUAAUGGCUCACCAAGGCGAAGAUCAGUAGGCGGUCUGAGAGGAGGAACGGCCACACUGGGACUGAGACACGGCCCAGACUCCUACGGGAGGCAGCAGUGGGGAAUCUUCCGCAAUGGACGAAAGUCUGACGGAGCAACGCCGCGUGAGUGAAGAAGGUCUUCGGAUUGUAAAGCUCUGUCGUUUGGGACGAACGUGGGUAGUGUGAAUAAUGCUAUCUAAUGACGGUACCAAAGGAGGAAGCCACGGCUAACUACGUGCCAGCCGCCGCGGUAA
Molecule: ribosomal RNA, 514 nt
Filed under: uncultured bacterium
Lineage: Bacteria
Description: partial 16S ribosomal RNA
Rfam family: Bacterial small subunit ribosomal RNA
Source: RNAcentral